AGUUGGCACUUGGCAUUUAUGAGGUGAAGACAAAGCUGGUUCAUGAGGCUUGUUUUCAAUUCUUUGUGAACCACAAGCCCUCACACUGCAAGAUCGUCAUGACAACCUGUCAGGAUGGGAGCCAGGCGAAAUCAGAGCUUAAUUCUAAAACUCCCCCGCCCCCAAACUGAGGAAGAAAAACCUCUGCAGGAGAUAUAGGGCAGCGCUCUCGCUUCGCUUCGCUGUCUUUGGGUAUGAGUGCUUCAAGAUCAUUGUCUGGCCAGCUGAGCCUCACCCUCACAGCAUGCUCUCUAGGCGAAGCCCAGCAAGGGCCUGACUCAGACCUGUUUCAGACUGAAGUAAAGUGGAUUCCAGAGGAGCUCUGAAAUAUAGCAGGAAAUAUAGAAACAUAUAUUGGGAUUUUUUUUUUCCUGGAAAACAAUCAGGCCCUGUCCUAAUGGGAUGCACAGAGGGUAACCAGGACGCACUACAUGAAGCUAAUGAAAUCCAAGUCAGAAAAGAGGCACAUGGAGAUGAUGAGGUUGGGAACCAGACUCGGCAUCUACCAUGCUUGGUAGGGCCCAGCACUCAAGCCUGUUUGAUGGGCGCUGUGGACUGUGUCUCCUCACCUCCAAAAUCCUUACACUGUGAAGCCCCCAUCCCCAGGGUGGCUGUAUUUGAAAUGGGGCCUCCUUUAUGGAUAAUACGGCUGGGUAUUAACUAAUCCUGUGAUAACUAAUAUUGACUUUUUUUUUUUCAACUUGAUGGGAUUUAGAGUCACUAUGGAAAUAAACCCCCUGAAGUCUGUAAGAGAUCAUCUACAUUAAGUUGAGAUGAGAAGUUGUAUCCUAAAUUUGGGUGGCACCACUCUAGGGGCUGGGGUCCUGGAUUGGAUUAAAAGGAGAGAGCACGGGCUGGAGAGAUGGGUCAGUGGUUAAGAGCACUGGCUGCUCUUCCAGAGGUCCUGAGUUCAAUUCCCAGCAAUCACAUGGUGGCUCACAACCGUCUGUAAUAGGAUCAGAUCACCUCUCCGGGUGUGUCUGAAGACAGCUACAGUGUAUUCGUAUGCAUAAAAUAAAUAAAUACAUCUUUUAAAAAGAAAGGGGGGAGCAAGCUGAAUGCCAGUAUUCAUCCCUGUCGGGUUCCUGGUUAUGGUUAUCGCCAGAUGCCUGAUGCUCCUGCUUUCAAACCAUGAGCCAAAGUUGACCCUUCCUCUCUCAAGUGGUUUCUGUCACAGUAAAGACACAAGUGACUCAUACAGGUGCCUUGCAUCCUCUGGGAUCUAUAAAGGACUUGAAAGGACAUGCUGGUGGUCAUCAAAUAAGAGCAAGCCUGUCUCUUCAUCUGUUGACCUCCAAACACGUUCUGACAAACUUGUCCCCUAAACCUUUCUCUACUGGGCCACAAGAAUACACUCUCAGAGUUCACAUUUGAUGAUGUAGCUGGUUUCUAGUUUGCUUGUUGUCAAUGUGUCUUACAUAUCACUAAAUCACUGAAGCACUCC
RNAcentral lists this long non-coding RNA (1483 nucleotides) under Mus pahari (shrew mouse). Its description in RNAcentral is "lncRNA (MGP_PahariEiJ_G0005976.1)". The record is from RNAcentral. Lineage: Eukaryota; Metazoa; Chordata; Mammalia; Rodentia; Muridae.